RNAcentral lists this ribosomal RNA (325 nucleotides) under uncultured eukaryote. Its description in RNAcentral is "partial 18S ribosomal RNA". It matches the Rfam family "Eukaryotic small subunit ribosomal RNA", at positions 1470 to 1796 of the family's 1831-position model. The record is from RNAcentral.
CCCUUAGAUGUUCUGGGCUGCACGCGCGCUACACUGAAGCGUUCAACGAGUAUUCACCUUGCCCGGGAGGGUUGGGUAAUCUUUUGAAAACGCUUCGUGAUGGGGAUAGAUUAUUGCAAUUAUUAAUCUUCAACGAGGAAUUCCUAGUAAGCGCGAGUCAUCAGCUCGUGCUGAUUACGUCCCUGCCCUUUGUACACACCGCCCGUCGCUCCUCCCGAUUGAGUGAUCCGGUGAAUAAUUCGGACUGCAGCACUGCUUGGUCUCCAGGCUUUGCAGCGGAAAGUUUAGUGAACCUUAUCACUUAGAGGAAGGAGAAGUCGUAACA